UACGGAGGGUCCAAGCGUUGUCCGGAAUCACUGGGUGUAAAGGGUGCGUAGGCGGGCUAGUAAGUCAGGGGUGAAAGCCCGCGGCUCAACCGCGGAACUGCCCUUGAUACUGCAAGUCUUGAGUCCUGGAGGGGCUGGCGGAAUUCGUGGUGUAGCGGUGAAAUGCGUAGAUAUCACGAGGAACACCGGAGGUGUAGACGGCCAGCUGGACAGGUACUGACGCUGAGGCACGAAAGCGUGGGGAGCGAACAGG
Molecule: ribosomal RNA, 253 nt
Filed under: uncultured bacterium
Lineage: Bacteria
Description: partial 16S ribosomal RNA
Rfam family: Bacterial small subunit ribosomal RNA
Source: RNAcentral